UUGAGCGAUUUACUUCGGUAAAGAGCGGCGGACGGGUGAGUAACGCGUGGGUAACCUACCCUGUACACACGGAUAACAUACCGAAAGGUAUGCUAAUACGGGAUAAUAUAUUUGAGAGGCAUCUCUUAAAUAUCAAAGGGGAGCCAGUACAGGAGGGACCCGCGUCUGAUUAGCUAGUUGGUAAGGUAACGGCUUACCAAGGCGACGAUCAGUAGCCGACCUGAGAGGGUGAUCGGCCACAUUGGAACUGAGACACGGUCCAAACUCCUACGGGAGGCAGCAGUGGGGAAUAUUGCACAAUGGGCGAAAGCCUGAUGCAGCAACGCCGCGUGAGUGAUGAAGGCCUUCGGG
RNAcentral lists this ribosomal RNA (351 nucleotides) under Clostridioides difficile. Its description in RNAcentral is "bacterial SSU rRNA". It matches the Rfam family "Bacterial small subunit ribosomal RNA", at positions 62 to 422 of the family's 1533-position model. The record is from RNAcentral. Lineage: Bacteria; Bacillati; Bacillota; Clostridia; Peptostreptococcales; Peptostreptococcaceae.